Long non-coding RNA from Triticum aestivum (bread wheat), 346 nucleotides. RefSeq lists it as uncharacterized. The transcript has 2 exons. The record is from RefSeq and is a predicted model, not a curated record. NCBI's taxonomy places the organism in Eukaryota, Viridiplantae, Streptophyta, Magnoliopsida, Poales, Poaceae.
UGUUAGGCUGGCAUGUGGAGCUGUACUAAUAAGCUAUGAGAAGGUCCUCACAUCACAACACCCGAGCAAGGCUGGCAAGGCUUGCUCGCCAUGGCCUACCACAUCGGCGAGACGGGGCGAGCACGUGAUCACCAUCAGCAGGUCCUUCGUCACAACACCCGAGCAAGCGAGAUGUUCAGACAAAGUUAUAUGAUACACUGCUAUUGACAUAUGUCGUAGAUGGACAGUACAUAUCGUUUCUCUCCAUGUUACAAUUUCUGUGACCUCGGCAUUUGGAAGACAUGUCAUCCGAAUCGUCUAUCAUAACUGAACCAUUACUAUCACAAGCAUCUUACUUUUAGAAUUC